CGCAUCAAGAAUCAAUCCCACAAGUUCAAGAGGAGAGGUCUCGUAUUCCGGAUAAACAAUAAUAAGAAAAUGAGAAAGGAAACCUUUCGGAUCAGAGUCUUCCUUUUUCUUCGUUAGAGGUCAGGAUCAAUAAGAAAGUCAACCUUGCGGAUCUCAUUCUCUGGGUCUGAGACACGACCCGAACUCCCACGAGGGGCAGCAGUGGGGAAUCUUGGACAAUGUGCGAAAGCCCGAUCCAGCAAUAUCACGUGAGUGAAGAAGGGCAAUGCCGCUUGUAAAGCUCUUUCCUCGAGUGCGCGAUCAUGAUAGGACUCGAGGAAGAUGCCUCGGCUAACUCUGUGUCAAUAGCCGCGUAAGACGGGGGGAGGGGGCAAGUAUUCUUUAGAAUGACUGGGCGUAAAGGACAUGUAGGUGGUGAAUCAAGUUGAAAGUUCAAGUCUCUAAAAACUGGUGGAAUGCUCUCGAAACCCAUUCAUUUGAGUGAGAUAGAGGAGAGUGGAAUUUCGUUUGUAGGAGUGAAAUCUGGAGAUAUACGAAGGAAGGCCAAAAGCAAAGGCAGCUCUCUAGGUCCCUCGACGUUGCAAUGUGAAAGCAUGGAAAGUGAACGUGAUUAGAUACCUUGGUAGUCCAUGUCGUAAAUGAUGAUUGUUCGCCCUUGGUUUAGGCGGAUCAGAGGCCCGACUAACGCGUGAAACACUCCGCCUGGCAAGUACAGUCGCAAGAUCAAAACUUAAAGGAAUUGACGGGGGCCUACACAAGCGGUGGAGCAUGUGGUUUAAUUCGAUACAAAGCAUUAAACCCUAUCAGCCCUUGACAUAUGAACAAGAAAACCUGUCCUUAACGGAAUGGUAAUUUCAUACAGGUACUGCAUGGCUGUCGCCAGCUUGUGUUGUCAGAUGUUUGGUCAAGUCCUAUAACGAGCGAAACCCUCAUUUUGUGUUGUUAAGACAUGUGCCUAAGGAUCAAGUCUUUACAACCGAAGUUCGUCGAGAAGCUGAGUGAAGUGCUAGCGUGACUAAUUGACUGCCAGCACAUAGCAGUGCUCUCAAUAAAAAAGGAGCCUUAUCCUUUCGAAGGAAGCACUUGAGAGUGCAUGCUUUAGUUUGAUUGUGUUAGCGCCUUUUAUUAAAUCGGCAUUCAGGCAAGCCAUUCGAUGGUGUGGUACGAAGUGGGUUUAGUACACACUGCCAAAACGGGUCUUCACUAUAGUGAAAGGUACGUGCUGCACUCACGAGGGACUGCCAGUGAGAUACCGGAGGAAGGUAGGGAUGAUGUCAAGUCUGCAUGGCCUUAUGGGCUGGGUCAAACACGUACUACAAUGGCAAUGAAAAUGGGAAGUAAGGCUGUAAGGCGGGGAAAAUCCGAAAAGAUUGCCUCAGUUUGGAUUUUUCUAUGCAACUCAGGAAUAUGAAGUUGGAAUCACUAGUAAUCACGAAUUAGCAUGCCAUAGUUAAUAUGUGCCGGACCUUGUACAUACCGCCCGUUAAACCCUGGGAAUGGGUUUCGCCCGAAGCAUCGAACCAAUUAUCAACCAUGACUUCCAUGUACCUCUAGUGCCACAAAGGCUUUUGGUGGUCUUAUUGGCACAUACCACGGUGGGGUCUUCGACUAGGGUGAAGCAUAACAAGGUAGCUGUAGGGGAACCUGUGGCUGGAUUGAAUCCUAU
RNAcentral lists this ribosomal RNA (1666 nucleotides) under Cucumis melo (muskmelon). Its description in RNAcentral is "Bacterial small subunit ribosomal RNA". It matches the Rfam family "Bacterial small subunit ribosomal RNA", at positions 284 to 1533 of the family's 1533-position model. Lineage: Eukaryota; Viridiplantae; Streptophyta; Magnoliopsida; Cucurbitales; Cucurbitaceae. The record is from Rfam by way of RNAcentral.